Molecule: ribosomal RNA, 265 nt
Filed under: uncultured prokaryote
Description: partial 16S ribosomal RNA
Rfam family: Bacterial small subunit ribosomal RNA
Source: RNAcentral
UACGGAGGAUCCGAGCGUUAUCCGGAUUUAUUGGGUUUAAAGGGUGCGCAGGCGGGAUGUUAAGUCGGCGGUGAAAUUUUGCAGCUCAACUGUAAAAGUGCCUUCGAUACUGGCUUUCUUGAGUGUGGAUGAAGUAGGCGGAAUUUGUGGUGUAGCGGUGAAAUGCUUAGAUAUCACGAGGAACUCCGAUUGCGCAGGCAGCUUACUAAACCACUACUGACGCUCACGCACGAAGGCGUGGGGAUCAAACAGGAUUAGAUACCCU